AGAAGAGUGUGAAGCAUUCGACCAAACAACAACUGCAGAGCUAAGUGAGGAAGAAUGCAUUACUGUUAGGAGGGUGAAGAAGAAAAAAUACCCAGGGUUUAUCUUAGAUGAGGAUGAAAGCAGCUCAGAUGGUGCUGGAACCGGAUGUGGCAAUGUGCAGAAACCAUGUGUGGAAGCACAGUCGCAACACAGUCCAUCCUUGCCAAAACCACCAAGGGUUCAACAAAAGAGACUUAGAUCUAAGUCCCACAGUCUCCUACACAUCCCUCAAACUACACCG
Osmerus eperlanus (European smelt) is the source of this 280-nucleotide long non-coding RNA. RefSeq lists it as uncharacterized. The record is from RefSeq and is a predicted model, not a curated record. The transcript has 3 exons. Lineage: Eukaryota; Metazoa; Chordata; Actinopteri; Osmeriformes; Osmeridae.